This 633-nucleotide ribosomal RNA is filed under the name Leptographium sinoprocerum. RNAcentral's name for it is "eukaryotic LSU rRNA". It matches the Rfam family "Eukaryotic large subunit ribosomal RNA", at positions 1 to 653 of the family's 3401-position model. Lineage: Eukaryota; Fungi; Ascomycota; Sordariomycetes; Ophiostomatales; Ophiostomataceae. The record is from RNAcentral.
UUGACCUCGGAUCAGGUAGGACUACCCGCUGAACUUAAGCAUAUCAAUAAGCGGAGGAAAAGAAACCAACAGGGAUUGCCCCAGUAACGGCGAGUGAAGCGGCAACAGCUCAGAUUUGGAAUCUGGCCCCCAGGGCCCGAGUUGUAAUCUGGAGAGGAUGCUUCUGGCGCGGCGCCUUCCGAGUUCCCUGGAACGGGACGCCGGAGAGGGUGAGAGCCCCGUACGGUUGGACGCCUAGCCUUUGUGAAGCUCCUUCGACGAGUCGAGUAGUUUGGGAAUGCUGCUCAAAAUGGGAGGUAAAUUUCUUCUAAAGCUAAAUACCGGCCAGAGACCGAUAGCGCACAAGUAGAGUGAUCGAAAGAUGAAAAGCACUUUGAAAAGAGGGUCAAACAGUACGUGAAAUUGUUGAAAGGGAAGCGCCCGUGGCCAGACUUGUGCCCCGCGGACCACCCGGCGCCCUCAGCGCCGGUGCACUCCGCGGGGCGCAGGCCAGCAUCGGUUUUCCUAGGGGGAUAAAGGCGGCGGGAACGUGGCUCCUUCGGGAGUGUUAUAGCCCGUCGUGCCAUGCCCCUGGGGGGACCGAGGACCGCGCUUCGGCAAGGAUGCUGGCGUAAUGGCCACCGGCGACCCGUC